AAAGCAAUCUGCUUGUUUCCUUUACAUUUGUUAAGUUGGCACUGAAUAAUUAUAACUUUGUAUAAUAAAUAUCGCCACCUUUAUGUAGGUGUGUCUUACGUAACAGAUACUUAAGCAGCAGUUACAGCAGUGACGUGCUUUUACAUUUCCUAUAAAUAGUAUGGCUCAUUUGAUUUUUUUGUUCUGCCAUCAUCUGAGUGCACAAGUUGCCCAACCUGAACGAAGAUCAAGUGGUCAACCAGAUACAAAAGCAAACACUGGAGUUUCUGCAUUCUUUGGUCCAAAUUUGGCUCCCAAGUUGCCUGUCUAUUUUUUUAAGGUGAAGCUGCUAAUUCUGAGGGCGAGAGUUCAAGUGUUAAUUCCUGUAAGAGUCCUUUUUCCUCAGAGAGCAGUUCUCUCCAGGUUCAGAUAUCUUGGCACCAGCCUUACACACAGCAGACCUGCACUAAUAGCAGAUGGAAAUGUCCAGGUGGCACCAGCAAGCAGCUUUUGAUUCUGUGCUGGUAAGGCAGUGGACAUUAAUUAGGCUAAAAUGCAGAAAUAUUCCUGGAGUAAAGGCCAGAGUACAUUUUGUACAUAUUGUACAAAUAUCUAAUUUUGGAUAUUUACUGGUGUCAUAAACUUGUGCUGCAUAAGCAUAUUUGUUAUUGUUCUAGCUCAUGUUGGUAAAAUUCUGUCAUUAGCCAAACAAAUUCUUCAAUUUCUUAAAUAAUUGUGAAGAUUUGGUGCAUGGGAAAAGAGUAAAAGAUUUGUGGAAUCACACUGUCUGUGAAGAGUGGUGCCAGCUGAAAAUGUCAGUGCAUGGUGAGCCUGUAAAUUCAUGCCUGAAUAAAGAUUUAUAAUUUAGGAUGAAUGAGGAGGCUUUAAGAGUAAUCCUGAAAUUCAUACAGGCUGACAUUGUGUAACGCCCAUAUCGAUUCCAGUUUUAUGCUAUAAUUAUAAACUAUAAAAUAAAUAGAGAGAGAAAAGAAGAUGUACUCCAGCACAGAAUCAUCAUCAUCAUCAUAAUCAUAAGCACAACAUUUCUACAGUUUCCAUUAGUAUCUUUAUUAGUAUUAGUAGUAGAAUCAUUUUUUUUCAGUGUACACAUUAUGCUGUACAUUAAUACGAUAAAAUGUAUUAGGAAGUUCUUAUUUUUUCUUUUUUGAAUUGAAUGUCAAGAACACAUGCAUAUUGUGCACAAAUGUGUUUGUCUACUCUGUUUUCCUUUCCCCUUAAAACUGAUACUGUAUAUGAGGGAAAAAAAAAGAAAAAGAAAAGAAAAAAAAAGAGCAAAAGCAGUUGCAAGCUCUUUUUUCUUUGUAAAAUUGUAUGCCAUGAAAAUGGACAUAUACCUAGAAAAUAUUCUAUGGGAGAUAAUUUACCAAACUGUUACUAAACGUGAUGUGAUUAACUUACUAUGCACAAUAUUUCCACUAUGUACAAUAAUUCCUGUAGAAUUAACUGAAGCCUUAUUUCUUGAGUUCUUAAAUAUGUAUUUGGUCAUUUCUUUCAUUUGUCUACCAGCUGACCGCUGAACACAAGGUAUGUUUCCAACAAGGUUAAUCUGUAUUAAAUAGUACUUAUUAUGGGAUUGAUAUUUGAGAUUGAGGAUUCUUUUAAACGUACAACACAUAACACACAUUAGACAGAUAUCAUGUAAUAUAUUAUAUAAUCUAAUGUAAUUGUUUUAAAUUGUGUACUUUAUUUGCAGACGUUCAAUCAUUAAUAAUGACAAUGCAAGCAGAACAGAAAAGCCUCUUUUUUGUCACCUGGAACACAAAUGGUAUUAAAAAUACCAAGAAGGUGACUUAAUGAAAUGCUAGUCCACUGCAGGGCACCAUGCACACACACACAUGCACAUGCGCACACACACAUUCAAAAGCAAUUUAGUGCAGCCAGUUCAUCUACCUGAAUAUUUUGGACAGUGGAAGAAAACUGGAUAAUUAGAAGGAAACCCACACAAACACAGGGAUGUGAACACAUGAAACGUAACACAGACAGUAACCUGAGCUCAGGAUUGACACAGGGAUAGUUGGCAACACUAUCCAGUGAACCAGCAACAACAGCAUCAUAUUGCGCCCUUGGUGCUUUGGCCCUAAUGAUGCUAACCAUACAAAGUGCUUAAAAUGAUCAUGAGUUUCCUCAAGGCCUCCUGACAUGAAGGAGUAUCUAGCACACCCUUGCCUGUGACCUCACAUGACACUGCCUGAGUUCUGCACUAAAUUCUAUGUUUGUGUGUACAUUAGAAGUGAGAGCAGUUGAAUCAACUAUAUAGUAAGUAAUUAAAGUUGUGGCAAUAACUCUUCAUCAUCAUCAUCAUCUAUUGAGUUAAAUUUUCUGAAAAGCAGGAUGGAAAACUUGACUUGAGAAUUAGAAUCAAAUAGAUGAAAAAGUACAAUUUUGUGUUAGAAUGAAGCCCUGAAUGGACAUCUGGUAUUUUCCUUCAAAUAUGUUUUAUAAAUUAAUUUAUAGGUAAAGAAGCACAUUUAAAAGUGAUUUGAAUGUAGAGUGUUGUAUGUAUUAUGUAAUGAAAUCAAAGUUCUUCUGUGGAACUCAAUUUGUCCAUUUAUUAACCCCAUCCUCAAUCUGGCUCUCAGGAAGCUACAAGAUCUGAUUCUCAAAACUGACACAGUUCUCGACUAGUGUUUUCUUUAACAGAUAUGUACUUUAAUUUUGUGCCUUAUUUUCACAGGGAAUCCAGAAUUUGUCUUUCACAUAGGUUAGAUCUGACAAUGCAAAAGAAAAAGAUUUCUCAUGUUUCCAUAUGUAUGAAGGCAGUUUGACUGUAUUGAUUGUCUGCAUGGGAGUUGGAAGCAGGGACUAAACAUGAGAAGAAAACUGGAUGUGGACAUUUAGAUCAGUCUGUGUCUAAGGAUUACCGUCAUAACAUGCUGUGAGCAGUAGCUGUUCUGAGGUCAACACUGAGUGCACAAGUUGCCCAACCUGACCUAAGAUCAAGUGAUCAAGUGAUCAACCAGCAACAACAACAACAACAACAACAACAACAACAACAACAACAACAACAACAAACACAGGUGACUGCUGACACAAGGCUUCCAGCCAGAGGUUUAAUCAAAAAUGACAUCAAACGCUGAAACAAACCUCUGUUUUGUCUCCUGGAACACAAAUGGUAUUAAAAAAAGAUUGUAAAAAUAUUGGACGUUCUCUGUAACCUUCAAGCUGAUAUUGUUUUUCUACAAGAAACACAUGUUGGGCCAACAACAAAAUGUCUCCAAGCCAUUAAUAUUGUUAAAAACUGGGACGUCUACAAUACUGAAUACAGUUCUCAAAGCAAAGGAGUUGCAAUACUGAUAAAAAAAACAUACCAUUUGAGUACAUAUGCCAUGAUGAGGAUUGUAGUGGAGGUUACAUUGUGCUCUUCUGUCAUCUGUAUGGUGAACUGUACACUCUUGUUAACGUGUACAAGCAUAAGAAAGACAAAGUUGUCUUGAAUAGGCUGAAGGACUAUUUGAUGGCGAGAGCUGAGGGUGUGCUAGUGGUUGGAGGUGAUUUCAAUUCACUUUUAGAUCCCAGAGUAGAUCGCAAUCCUCCAAGGUCAAGAGAAUCACCAUCAAAAGUUUUAGAAGACUUUAUUGCAUCACUGAACCUCAGAGACACCUGGUCAAACAUACAUACUGAUAAUGAUACAGAGAGAUUUACAUUCAAAUAUCCUCGUGGUUUUUCCAGAAUAGACAUGUUUUUCCUGCAAAAUGCCACAAUAAAUCAAGUACUUAGCAUUACAGUUGAAAAAGGUUUUGAGGGACAAAAAAUGGAUCAUUUCCCUCUCGUCUUAAAACUCCCCACAAGGUUAAGGACAUAUGAAUACAAUCCUGACAGGUGCCAAGGAAAGAUUAGUCUUAAAGAAAUACUGAGUGCUAUAAAGUAUUUAACUGACAAAGAAGAACCCAGACCAAAUAUGAAUGAUGAGAAGGUCUACAAAAAAAAAUGCUGUACAAUGAAGAUUGACUACAAUAAAAUAUUAAAUACACUGAAGGUACCUAAAAAUUAUAAACCUUCAGGAGACAACAACAUGGAAUAUUUGAUAUUUUCAGAAAUUUUGGCCAAGCGCCUCUUGCCAUUCAGUUCAUGUGAAACUGAUAACUGUGCCACUGUGAACAUUGAGAGCCCACAGGAAAUCAAGUGGUCUUACCUGAAGACAAUAUUUGAUAAGAUAGAUUAUUGUUAUUAUAAAGAGAAAGACCCAAAACAGGCCCCGUUUGCCCCCCCACCAGACCUCCGCAUUCUGGAUCGUCUUCUUCCUAAAGUCCAAAACUCUACUGAGGAUCUCAGAGUUUUACAGCCUAACUGUCCACUAGCCAAUGCUAUCCUCAAUCUGGCAAAUAAACAGCUGGUUGAUAUGCUUCAGUUGUUCCAGAAUGAUUCAGGACUGAAGUUAAAUACUGUACUUCAUGUACUCAAACAAACACACACACACAAAUAAGUCACUUUGAGCCUAAAUAAUUGAAGAACUUUUAAAGGGCCUUUAACAGCAAUUAGAACAUUAAGCACAGGACAGGUUGAGAAGUUUUAUUCCCCCUCUACAGCAGCUACAUCACAAAUUGUGCUACAACCUCUCUAUAAACAUCAGAGGUACACAUCUAUUUUAUGUCCAGAUGAAAAAAAAACAAAAAACAAUACUUAUGCUGGCUUUUAUCUCUUAUGCAUUACUUUAUUAUAUUUAAUUAUGAUUGCUAUUAUGAUUUUGUUGAUAGUAGCACAGUGGGUAAUCACUGUCCAUCACUAGUCCGAAUUAAAAUAGAUUCAGAAAAUAUCAGGGAUUUCAGGCACUAUCUACAGUUACUUUGAUUUGCUUAGAUUGGUUUAGCUUUGCUUCACGAGCUGGGAAUAUUGUAUUAAUUUCUAAGUUGUUAGGGUGUAUUUGUACACGUAAAAUGAAACUUUUAUUUAAAAUGUUUAAAAUUUGUAUAGGAUAUAAGAUUUGUAAUUAAUUUUGUUGUUGAGUUUUGUAAAUUAUUACAGCAAUGGUGCAGUGCUUUGUGCAAUCACAUUAUAUAUACAUUAACAGUGUCUUUCUUUUUUUUGCCUUCUUUUUUUUUUGCCUUUGUCAAGAAUAAUGCUACAUUCAUGUUUACUGUGUUUAUGAGAUACUUAUAUUUGAAAAAAAAGGCAUCCUUAAUAUGUAAUAUUUCUUUCUUGGAGAUGUUUGGCUAUCCUAAUAGACAUUAUGGAAGUUUGUACAGAUGUGCAUCAUGUUUGCUUGGUUGUGUAUUAAUCUGUUACUUCCAUCCCAGCUUUAAUUGAAGACUUUCUGCUGCAAGGCAUUCACCACUAAGUAUUAUUUUAGAAGCUUUUACGGCAUCUCUGAAUCUUAGAGACACCAUGCCUUCACUUUACUGAUGAGGGCUUUACACAGUUUCACAACAAGUCAUUCCUGGAUAAACUUUAGACACAAUGGGAAAAUACAAACUACAGAGCUAUAGAGUUAAACUACAGAAAGUUUUGAUAAAUGUCCUCUUGUACUAAAAGAGCAAAUACAUUUAAAACAGAACAAAACAAAAAACUCUGGAGAGAGAUACAGACACAGAGUGAAAUAAAAAUGCCCACUGAUGAUAUCAUUAAAUCUACUGAAGUAACAGUUUCGAAGUAGGAAGUGAAACGUGUAUGUGGUGAACACAGACGAGAGGAGUGAUACACACAGUGAAACAUUCCAGUGCGGUUAUAGGAAAUAUAUUCGCUCUUGGAAUGCCGCACGACCAAUCAGAUUAGUGGAACUAACUGUUGUAUAAAGGUUCAUAAUCUAUCAGCAUACAUGCUUCUCUACUUCCUGUGUCUGUUAGCACAACA
Long non-coding RNA from Ictalurus punctatus (channel catfish), 5787 nucleotides. The record is from Ensembl. Lineage: Eukaryota; Metazoa; Chordata; Actinopteri; Siluriformes; Ictaluridae.